This 70-nucleotide transfer RNA is filed under the name Gammaproteobacteria bacterium MFB021. Its description in RNAcentral is "tRNA-Ala". It matches the Rfam family "tRNA". From Rfam's summary of the family: Transfer RNA (tRNA) molecules are approximately 80 nucleotides in length. Their secondary structure includes four short double-helical elements and three loops (D, anti-codon, and T loops). Lineage: Bacteria; Pseudomonadati; Pseudomonadota; Gammaproteobacteria. The record is from RNAcentral.
GGGCCAUAGCUCAGCUGGGAGAGCGCCUGCCUUGCACGCAGGAGGUCAGCGGUUCGAUCCCGCUUGGCUC